ACGGGAGGCAGCAGUGAGGAAUAUUGGUCAAUGGACGGAAGUCUGAACCAGCCAUGCCGCGUGCAGGAAUAAGGCCCUAUGGGUCGUAAACUGCUUUUGUGGUGGAGCAAUAAGGGCUACGCGUAGCCCGAUGAGAGUACAUCACGAAUAAGCAUCGGCUAACUCCGUGCCAGCAGCCGCGGUAAUACGGAGGAUGCAAGCGUUAUCCGGAUUUAUUGGGUUUAAAGGGAGCGUAGGCGGAAGGUCAAGUCAGCUGUGAAAUGUAGUCGCUCAACGUCUGCACUGCAGUUGAAACUGGCCUCCUUGAGUGCGUAAGAGGCAGGCGGAAUUCGUCGUGUAGCGGUGAAAUGCUUAGAUAUGACGAAGAACUCCGAUUGCGAAGGCAGCUUGCUGGGCCGCAACUGACGCUGAAGCUCGAAGGUGCGGGUAUCGAACAGGAUUAGAUACCCUGGUA
This 454-nucleotide ribosomal RNA is filed under the name uncultured Prevotella sp. Its description in RNAcentral is "partial 16S ribosomal RNA". It matches the Rfam family "Bacterial small subunit ribosomal RNA", at positions 341 to 792 of the family's 1533-position model. The record is from RNAcentral. Lineage: Bacteria; Pseudomonadati; Bacteroidota; Bacteroidia; Bacteroidales; Prevotellaceae.